UUGAGAACUGCCAGGCACAAAACUCAUGGAAAAGGCCUCCAGGAUCACAGGGGCCAGCUGCCAGGCCAGCCCUGCCAAGGCCACCACUGACCACGUCCCCAAGGGUCACAUCUCCACGGCUCAGAUCCCCCCAGGGAGGAUGUCCCUGCCUGAGGAAGAGGGGGAAGGAACUGUCCAAGGUGAUUUGCAGCAGAAGGAACAGCUGCUAAAGGUCAGUCCUAAAGUCAAAGUCACGCAGCAAAAAUGGGAACUGGUUCCGUGAGCAACAGCAGCAGCCUGGGCUGAGCCAGCCGGGGAGUUUGCCCACCAGGAGCUGACAGCAGAAGGAAAUGAAGCCCCAAAUCUGUCUCCUGGUGCCCGGAUGCCCCAGGCCACGGCCCGGGGGCUGCGUGGCAGCGAGAGAGGAAACAGGAGCACAAAUGGCAUCCCGGGGGAGCAGCAGCGCCCGUUGUUUAUCAAAGCAGGGCGAACAAACAGAUUUGCAUCCAUUAAUAGCUCCGUGAUCAACUCCUGAUAAAGAACAAGCUGCUCCACCCUCGAGCUCCCUGCUCAGGCACUCGGGGCUGGUAACGAAGCCGAGCAAAUACGAACCAACCCACCCGGGGAAAGCACAAAGCCUGAACUUAAGAGUGCAAAAGAAAUCAAGUCUCCUCUCCUCAAUUCACUGAAUUGAUCGUCUGCCAGACCCGAGGAGGUCCACGGGAGUUAAGGGGAUGUGGCAACAUCUCCUGAUACCUCGUGGUAGGAGAGAAACAGCCUCUGUCUUAAUUACCUCCCCUGGGAAGGCAGAGAACAGCGCUGGAGUAAACAUUCAAACUACGCA
Long non-coding RNA from Pseudopipra pipra, 823 nucleotides. RefSeq lists it as uncharacterized. The transcript is spliced from 2 exons. Lineage: Eukaryota; Metazoa; Chordata; Aves; Passeriformes; Pipridae. The record is from RefSeq and is a predicted model, not a curated record.